This 81-nucleotide non-coding RNA is filed under the name Paraliobacillus sp. PM-2. Its description in RNAcentral is "c-di-GMP-I riboswitch aptamer". It matches the Rfam family "c-di-GMP-I riboswitch aptamer". From Rfam's summary of the family: GEMM was predicted in a large-scale screen for bacterial structured RNA regulatory elements. Genes associated with GEMM are involved in a diverse array of functions, including chemotaxis regulation, signal transduction, secretion and chitin. RNAcentral also lists the same sequence under 1 other name. The record is from Rfam by way of RNAcentral. Lineage: Bacteria; Bacillati; Bacillota; Bacilli; Caryophanales; Bacillaceae.
UCACGAAAAGGGCAAAACCAUUGAAAGAUGGUGACGCAAAACUAUAGGAGCUACGGGAAACUACGCUUGCCAGUUAUCGAA